Long non-coding RNA from Lepus europaeus (European hare), 274 nucleotides. RefSeq lists it as uncharacterized. The transcript is spliced from 3 exons. Lineage: Eukaryota; Metazoa; Chordata; Mammalia; Lagomorpha; Leporidae. The record is from RefSeq and is a predicted model, not a curated record.
GGAGACGAUACCAGAAGUGCAUGAUGCACAAGGAUGAACCUUGUCAUUGGUCACUGAUUGAGUAAUAAAUCCAAGUGUCUUCUGUGAGCAUUCUACCUGGAGCAAGACUUGGAUAUACUUUGAAAAGCAAAUAGCAGCACAAUACACUCACAAGUGCUGGGAGCUCCACUGUCUGACAAGUUCAUGGAACAUGUACCCAACCUUGAAUCUCAGCAUGCCCUUUUGGGGGCAAAGGGUGUGAGAGGUUGCUGACUGAAGACUUGGGAGCUAACUG